RNAcentral lists this ribosomal RNA (3090 nucleotides) under Sphaerospora motemarini. Its description in RNAcentral is "partial 18S ribosomal RNA". It matches the Rfam family "Eukaryotic small subunit ribosomal RNA". Lineage: Eukaryota; Metazoa; Cnidaria; Myxozoa; Bivalvulida; Sphaerosporidae. The record is from RNAcentral.
ACCUGGUUGAUCCUGCCAGGUAUGAUAUGCUUUUCUCAAAGACUAAGCCAUGCAUGCCUAAGUUCAUACCUUUACACGGUGAAACUGCGAAUGGCUCAGUAAAUCAGUUAUAAUUUAUUUGAUCGUACCGAAGUGGUGAAACACUUACACAUUGGAUAACUGUGGGAAACUAGAGCUAAUACAUGUAACCUGCUAUCACGGGGUAGCGUGCAUUUAUUCGCUUAGAAAACCAACACAUCGUGUGGCUAGACUGGCAUCAAUGGGCCUCUAGAAGUGAGCAAUUGCUCCUAGAUGCUCAUGCUGGUGUUACGGCAGCGGUGUUUAUGGUGAUUCUGAAUAACUGAUGCUGAUCGUUUUGGAGCCACGUGCUCACGAUAUUUCAAUCAAAUUUCUGCCCUAUCAUACCUGUUGGUAGGGUAGCGGCCUACCAAAGUAAUGACGGGUAACGGGGAAUCAGGGUUCGAUUCCGGAGAGGCAGCCUGAGAAACGGCUACCACAUCCAAGGAUGGCAGCAGGCGCGCAAACUAUCCAAUCCAGAUAAUGGGAGAUGGUGACGAGAUAUAUUGGAACUCACCGGCUUUGCCGGUCGAGUUACCAGAUCGGCCUUAAUCUAAACCAAUAACGGAUUAUUCAACGGGAGGGCAAGUCUGGUGCCAGCAGCCGCGGUAAUACCAGCUCCUGUAGCAUAUAUGCUCGUUGUUGCGGUUAAAAAGCCCGUAGUUGAAUUACGGUACGAUCGAAAGGUGGUUCUGCCAUAUGGCCGUCCUCUGCGAAUAAAGCCAUUGUGUAAGCUGAUGGGAGGUAAUGAUGCACCAUGCCGCUUGCAUCUCACGGUGUGAGAGGUGUGGAGAUAUGCAUCUAGUCUCAUCGAUGCGCUUUCAUGAAGGAAUAAGGAGGUGCGGUUUUGGGUGAUGGGCGUAACGUGUUGUAUGGGGGGUACUCCCCCCAAACUUUACUAAUGCACCCCCUUGUCACCAAGUGUAGUAAGUGUGUGUGUGAGAGAGAAGAAUGUACGAUUGUGUAUGAGUUUCGGCUUAUGCACGCGUGCCUUCUCCCUCUCUCACUAUCACAUCUCUCUCGUUUGGGUGAAUGAUGAGAGUGGAUUGCAUGCCUAUCAUCGUAUAUGUGGUGGAAACGUCAUUAGGUCGUACUUUCUUGCCCAGCCCAUGUGAUAUAUCCUUUAGUGGGUACAUGUGGCGCUAGGUAAAUUGUGCCUUGAGUAAAAUAGAGUGCUCCAAGCAGGCGAUGAUUGUGUAAAAAUUUUCAUAGCCAGAAUACUCCAGCAUGGAACGAAUUUCCAAUUGCUUGAACCACCCCACAUACCUAGUUAGUUGGUUGUGUGCUUCGCACACACACUCAUCAUAUGGCUGCGCGCGCACCUGUGUGUGCGUAUUUGUGUGGUGGGUGUCUAGGUUGUGCCCACAGAACAGUGUACCCGGUAGGUGUGUUGAGUGAGGUGGGGGGUCCGCCGAAUAAUGUGCGUGGAAUAAGUGGCAUUCGCAAUUAGAAUGUCCCCCUAAAAAGCAGAGAAGCGCGUUAUCAAGCACUCACACGUGUAAUCUUCAUGCAAGGUUGUGUGAGUGUGCGUGCUUCUCUGUGAAUAUAUAUGUAUAUAUAUAUAUAUCUGCCUUAUUCCGCCUCCGGGAAAAAAUGCGCUUUCUGUGUAUGGGUAUCGGUUAACAGAGACAUUUGGGGGCAUUAGUAUUUGGCCGCGAGAGGUGAAAUUCUUUGACCGGUCAAAGACUAACAAUUGCGAAAGCAUUUGCCAAAGGUGUUUUCAUUAAUCAAGGACGAUAGUUGGAGGAUCAAAGACGAUUAGAUACCGUCGUAGUUCCAACUGUAAACUAUGCCAACCAGGACUCAGUCCGGAUCAUUUAUAUUUAUAACAAUAUAUCACGGAUCCAGGUUGGGUCCCCAGGGAAACCUAAAGUUUUUGGGUUCCGGGGAGAGUAUGGUCGCAAGGCUGAAACUUAAAGGAAUUGACGGAAGGGCACCACCAGGAGUGGAGCCUGCGGCCUAAUUUGACUCAACACGGGGAAUCUCACCAGGUCCGGACAUCGGAAGGAUUGACAGACUGAUAGAUCUUUCAUGAUUCGGUGGAUGGUGGUGCAUGGCCGCUCUUAGUUGGUGGAGUGAUUUGUCUGGUUUAUUCCGAUUCAACGGACAUGACUGGGUUCUCUAUUUUGGUCGUAUGAAAGUUUACAUCCGUGUUAUGGCGUUGUUAUGAGUGUUUGAUGUGUGUCUGCAAUUCUCUCUCUCUCUCUCUCUCUCCUUCACAUCAUAUGCAGCAAUGUGUGUGAUGUGAGAAGAAAGCAGGAGAGAGCGCGCGCGCAUUAUACCUCUUUCAGUGUCUCCUGCUAGGCACACAAAAAGUUUGGCAUUGUACGUCCCUAGCCGUGUGUCUUUCGGCGUGAGUGGGUGCGGGUUGGCGCGUGAGGGUAAAAGCUCACACCUCGCCUAUCAGCCUUGUGUGGAGGGUAGCUGGUUCUAGCUAGCACCGAUGAAGAUGAUGUCUGUGACGGUGCGUCAGAAUAUUCUAUUCACUCACGGUGUACUCCCAGUCCGAUUCCUCAUGAGUAGUUGGUGGGUUGAGGGCCAGUCCGUAUCUCAUCCACUCAUUGAUCAUUGGCAUCGCUUGUGUGUGUCUGUGUUGAAUGUGCCUGUGGGCCGGAUUGUGUUCGUGCGCCUUCAUAGAGAGACAACCUGUGGCAAGCAGGGGGAAGUACAGCAAUAGCAGGUCAGUGAUGCCCUUAGAUGUCCUGGGCUGCACGCGCGCUACAAUGGUAACGACAGCGAGUUUCUGUACUGAAAAGUAUGGGUAAUCUUAUCAAUCGUUACCGUGCUGGGGAUUGAGCCUUGAAAUUAUUGCUCAUGAACUUGGAAUUCCUCGUAAGUACGAGUCACCAGCUCGUGCUGAAUACGUCUCUGCCCUUUGUACACACCGCCCGUCGCUACUACCGAUCGAAUGACUUGGUGAGAACAUGGGAUUGGUCGACUCCAUAUUGUGUGUUGGCCGAGAGCCUGUUCAAACUGCGUCACUCAGAGGAAGUAAAAGUCGUAACAAGGCUUCCGUAGGUGAACCAGCGGAAG